AUGAAGUCCUCGGUUUCAUCUCCUGAUGCCUCUGUGCUUAAGCAAUGGAACUUUGAUCAAGAAACAUCUAGAUAUUUUCUUGGUGAAAUGAUAAAGGAAGCAUCAACAAAGGAUGAAGUUAUUCGAGCAAUGGUUGGAGAGAUGCAAAAAAAGUUUGAUAAGUAUCGGAUGGAAUCAUAUUUGCCAAACUGUAUACCUGUGAUCCUUGAUCCACGAUUUAAACUUUGCUUCAUCGAGUUUCAACUAGAACAAACUUUUGGUCUAGAUGUACUUGCUUAA
This 279-nucleotide ribosomal RNA is filed under the name Triticum aestivum (bread wheat). Its description in RNAcentral is "partial small subunit ribosomal RNA". Lineage: Eukaryota; Viridiplantae; Streptophyta; Magnoliopsida; Poales; Poaceae. The record is from RNAcentral.